CUUUAAUGUAUUUGAGGUUUUCCUACAACCAAGUUAACAAGUAUCUCUUAAGAUUUAUAUAUGAAAUAUACAAGCCUUAAGAUUCACCUGUUGCCCUGUUUGCAUUGUUUCUUUAGUUUAGUAUGUAUGUUGCAAAAUUGUGUGUGUGUGUGUGUGUGUGUGUGUGUGUGUGUGUGUGUGUGUGUGUGUGUGUGUGUGUGUGUGUGUGUGUGUGUGUAUCUGAUUGUGUGUUGAUGAAACACAAAAAGGCUGUUGUGUGCUCUCUCUCUCUCUCUCUCUCUCUCUCCCUCCCUCCCUCUCUCUCUGGCCUGUUUGCACUCAGAUACAGCAGCAGUGAGAUCAUUGAGAUCAGUAUCUACUACGGUGUCAAGCUUAGGUUUGCAACAGCGACCAAGCACUGGCACCUGUCACCUGCUGACAAAUACAGAGUGAACAUCAGGAUUCUGUGGGCACAUCAUGGGAAACUGCACUUCAGGGAUAAAGAAUAAAUGGAAAGGGAAUUUUGCAUCCGAUGAAAAAGAAGGCAGCACAGAUAAUAAGGUAGACCCCCCCCCCCCCCCCCACACCCACACACACACACACACACACACACACACACACACACACACACACACACACACACACACACACACACACACACACAUGGAUGUACUCCCUUGUUAGAUUUGCAUACUUUACAAAAGACAUUGUGAGGCUGUUUAUUUCAUAUGCAGGAAGUCAUAACCACAUAUAGAAAACUGUAUGAGAAAUUAUAAUGAAUGAUGUGUAACAUAUCUUCAGGAAUUGCAUCUCACUCUGUGUAUUAUCUCAUGACAGCCUCAGGAGGAUGUAACGUAUGCCUCUAUUGACCACACCACUGCCAAAAGACCAAACAGAACCAUAGCCACCGCUGACGAUGAUUGUGACUAUGCAACAGUUUAUGUCCCAGCAGCACUUCAACCCGAACCUGUGUCCGAGUGCUCAUCUAAAGACGAAUGUGCAGACGAUUAUGUCAUCAUGGGAUGAACAGGAGGAAAAGUUUAUUCGGUUUAUGGCAAGAUGCAGGACUAGUAGAUAAUAUCGCAAACAGGAGAACAUUUCUGGGAAUCAAAUCUUGAUCUUCAAUAAAGAAACAAAAUUAAAAAAGAAUCAUCUGCAGCCAACAGUAGCUGGCUGCAGAAACACCAAGCACGAAGAUGCUCCCCUACACUUUUGAGGUAACCUCAAGCCUGAACACAACUGUGGUGUCCCUUCCUGUACAAGACAAAAUUGCUUCGCAUUUGACCUCAAUAAAUCUAGUAGCUUCUUCACAUGCACCUUAUUUACACCAUGACCUGAAUGACAGAAUUUUAAAGUCUUUUAAAAUAUUUAAAAUAAUUCCGAUUGUAUGUAUACACAUUUGUUUGCAGCAACAAACAAAAAAAGAUCAACACAAUUAGUGCAGUGUGUAUGUACUACAAAUGGAUUCCUAAAAUGUUGUGACAUUAGCACAAUAUCUGGAAGUAGUACGCUAAAAGUCUACGGUCCGGAGUUCACGGGUUCUAAGCAGUAUGUAAUUGUACACAAAGUGACAAAAUAAAGUAAACUCAAAGCAGGUAGAAUGCACACUAAAUCAGAUGUUUCAUUUUUGACAUUUGUUUAUGUACUGUUAAUAGAUAAUAUUCUUCCCACAAUGCAAUGCACAAAGAAAAUGAAGGAUCAGUUCAUGGCUGAAACAAUUAAAAGAAAUUGUGAGUGGUGGUGAAACAGCUUAAAAUAAUUAUGAAACCUUAGGAAAAAAGAUUUGGCUUUCUUUUUGUAAAGUUAAACAGUCACAGCUUACUUGACUUCUGAUGUUGUGUAAUUUCCUGUAAGUACACUUAUGGCGCACAUACUGUAUAGAAUUAGUAUGCAGUUAAAAUUUUAAACAUAUCUUUAGCAUUUAGGCUUAAAUACUUUUUUGCUUCUGACAAACCAUUAGUUACAACAUCUGAAGCUCUGAGAAUCUUAAUGUCUUCAUUUCUUUUGAUGUUUUUUUUCGAUAUGUUUUUAUUUGCUGACAUUUUGGUCUUAACAAUUGGAGUAUUCAGUGUGUUAUCUUCGGCUUUCAAGAGGAAUGCGGGGUAUACAAGUGGAAGAACUGUUUUUCCACCAUAAAAGGAAAAGAACGGCAGCUAUGAAACAUAAAGUGAACACUGAAGAAGCACAGUAGACAGGAAGGCUAAUAUGAGUCAAUCUGCUGUCACUCUAUGAUUUUCUACAGUAGAUAAACGUUUGAUCUUUAUUUAUAGUCUGUUUUUAUUGACACAGAGCCAAAGCUUUGCUCCACCUUUAACCAAAGUUUCAGUUGCAGAAGCCCCACAUUAAGCUGCCUCGACCAACCUUUACAAACUAAAUUUACCAAUCCAUAAUGGAAUAAUGGAAUGUGUAUAUAAUUGUGUCCACAACACACAUCCUAACCUGCUUUCCAGAGUCUAUGCUCAUUUUGCAAAAUAUCGCUCCUGAGAACUGCUGCACACCACCCAAAUAUACUACAAAUAGAUAUUUAAUUUUCAUGUUUUGUUUAUGAAAGGGGAAAAUACGUACAUUUCUGUCUAUGCCUGUAUCUACCUAUAUGAUUAUUCAUAUGUUUGACUGAAUGCAAAUUAGAGUGCUGUAAGUUGCCUAUGUUUCAUUGUGUUUUUAUUGAUCUUUUUAUUGAUUAAAAGUUGACCUCUUCUACUACUUUUGUUCGUUAUUCUGUUGUAUAAAGUUUAAAGUCAAACUUCAGGAAGAGGAAAUCAUGUUAAUGUGUUCACCAGACAUGCCUUGGAAACUGAAAGUCAAAGUGUGUCAUG
RNAcentral lists this long non-coding RNA (2795 nucleotides) under Cottoperca gobio. Its description in RNAcentral is "lncRNA (ENSCGOG00000020557.1)". Lineage: Eukaryota; Metazoa; Chordata; Actinopteri; Perciformes; Bovichtidae. The record is from RNAcentral.